Long non-coding RNA from Oncorhynchus keta (chum salmon), 279 nucleotides. RefSeq lists it as uncharacterized. The record is from RefSeq and is a predicted model, not a curated record. NCBI's taxonomy places the organism in Eukaryota, Metazoa, Chordata, Actinopteri, Salmoniformes, Salmonidae. The transcript is spliced from 4 exons.
GGUCACGAUAACAUCACCCACCCGUAGCACGCGCUCCAGCAGGUAUAUCUCACUGGUCACGAUAACAUCACCCACCCGUAGCACGCGCUCCAGCAGGUAUAUCUCACUGGUCACGAUAACAUCACCCACCCGUAGCACGCGCUCCAGCAGGUAUAUCUCACUGGUCACGAUAACAUCACCCACCCGUAGCACGCGCUCCAGCAGGUAUAUCUCACUGGUCACGAUAACAUCACCCACCCGUAGCACGCGCUCCAGCAGGUAUAUCUCCCUGGUCACGAU